This is a regulatory RNA element of Drosophila sechellia, 159 nucleotides long. It matches the Rfam family "R2 RNA element", at positions 62 to 212 of the family's 212-position model. Rfam says of the family: This family represents the 3' UTR region of the R2 retrotransposable element. This family is known to interact with the R2-encoded reverse transcriptase in a reaction known as target primed reverse transcription (TPRT). The record is from Rfam. NCBI's taxonomy places the organism in Eukaryota, Metazoa, Arthropoda, Insecta, Diptera, Drosophilidae.
GCGCAAAUAAUGGUAAUAUAUAAAUUGGCUAUGAGGAUGGUUUUAGUACGUAGGCGUUGCGGAACUUCGGUUCAGAUAGAGCAAUGAAUCGUGCAUGCUAGGAAACUGAAGUGUUGACAGACCUAGUAUCUUUCGAUAGAUUUCCAUACCUCCGCGAUC